AGAUAACCGAAAGUAGAAACGUCCUCCUUAACUGCACAGUGAACAAAAUCACUUGGAACUGAGAGGUACGAGCAUGAGUGUCUUUGUGAGAGACCAGGGGACUGGAUCUGAAGAAAAAGACCAUCUGCAACUGCCAGCCAUUUACACUGCCUUUGGAACUAGAGAGGGACUGUGGAAAAAGGGUGCAAUUGUCCAUAUGAAAGAAAAGAAAAAUAAUAGUCAACCCUCAUCCUUCUCCUACCAGCUCCACUUCCUUCGUCAACGGAAGCAUUUAGUGCCAUCUGUGCCCCCAGAGAAAAGAAAAAAGAAAGUGAGUGAGUGAGAGCCUACAUCCAAGUGCCAAUGGGUACAAAGAGGCUGCCAGUUGCCACGGACCACCAGAUGCUGGAAGACUGAAUGAGGGGUGUGCUUUCAGGAAGCCAUCUUGAUGGAGAAACUGGCUGCUGCUCUCUAAAAUGGCUGUGUUGGCAUGAGCUCCAGGCAAUAAUCAAAAUGUGGGGGAAAAACAUCACUGUCAUCAGCUGCCAGAGAAACCAAGGACAUCUGGCUAUUUUUGACUCAGAUGGUCAAUCACAGCACCUCAGGAAUCCAGCAUAUCUCCCAUAUGGUUCACUGAGAAAUUUAAAACAAGCAGAUAUUUGAGACGGAUCUACAACUUGCACUAAUUGAAUUAACUGAGUGUCUUAAACCUUUUAAGCAAUCACCAAUACCUAAAGGUAGUGAAUGAUUUUGUACAAUGUGUGUGGAUGGGAAGAAAUUCUGACUCUCCUCCCAGUUAAACCUCAGAAGUUAAAGAUAUUCAAACAACGUGUUGUACAAUCUUAUAGACUGAACAGAAUAAUGAUGGAAAGUAAUACUGUGCCUUAAUGUGUGAAAUGUUUACAAUGAAAAUUGCACUUAUUUAAAUAUCUCUCUUGGUAGAUAAUACCACACAAUGUGAAUGACUAAUUUGAGGUCCAUAUUUUAAAUGUAAAUGAAAUGUCUCAUGUUGAAGAUUACAGCCAUAUAAAUAUUUACCUGUGUUAUUUAGAUCGACAGGAAAUUGUAUUUAUACAAUCUGCUAAUAUGUAACGGUGCUUAUUUUUGACAUAGCCUACUUGUUAUUUUGUAUGAUAUAGUGAUGCAUGAAAUAAACACAUU
Molecule: long non-coding RNA, 1140 nt
Organism: Xyrauchen texanus (razorback sucker)
Lineage: Eukaryota; Metazoa; Chordata; Actinopteri; Cypriniformes; Catostomidae
Exons: 4
Source: RefSeq, a predicted model, not a curated record